Molecule: long non-coding RNA, 1645 nt
Filed under: Homo sapiens (human)
Lineage: Eukaryota; Metazoa; Chordata; Mammalia; Primates; Hominidae
Description: HSALNT0291610
Source: RNAcentral
UCCGCCCUGUGGUUUUGGAGCCCUUCCUCCCGGCGCGCAGGGUGUGGUCCCCGAGAAUAAGAUGAGCAGAAUUAAAGCAGAUCCUGCACCCACUCUGCUGAAAUCCGGCUUCUGAGGCAGCCUCGCCCAGGGCUGGGUGGGCUCAGGCGGCUGCUACUCGGUUCAGGGGAGGUUACGCACGGUGGCUGCCGCGCGCAGGGGAGGCUUCGCUUCCGUACUCCUUGGGCCGGGAGAUCCGAUCUUUGUUCCCUCAAGACUCACACUCUCCAACCGGUCAUUAUCCUCCCACAAAGAUUUAUUUCUAGAAAAAAUUGGCAAGUGCCACAGUUCCCGCCCCUUCAGCUGAACGACUGUGACAGCUCCGUGUUUCAAGUUGAAUGCAGGCGUUAUGUGCCAGAGUCAAUCAUUCAACAAAUAAAGUUCUUAAAAUAACAGCUACCAUUUACUGCACGCUGACUACUUGCCAGGCCCAUGCUGAGUUCUUCAAGCGUAUUUUCAUUUACUCCUAAUAGCAACUCUCGGUGGUAGGUACCAUUAUGCCCUCUAGUUUUCAAAUGAGGAAGCUGAAUAACUUGCCAAGGUCAGAAAGUAACUGUUGAAACUUUGAAGGAAACACAUCUGUCUGACUCUAAAUCCCAUGAGCUUAAUUAGCCCCUGUGAUAGACCAUACUGCAGACAUUUGAGGCAGAUUUGAGGUGGUGAAUGCCUCUGGAUCUGGAGACACUGGGUUCCAGUGCUGGCAUAGGCCCUCUACUAGGGGUCAGACUUUGGUCAGGUUACUUUGGACGGGUUACUGGGCCUCUUCCUAACUUUAUGGCUCCCAGCAUGUUUAAAAGAACAUGACAACAUGAAAAAAUAUGGUAUAAAAGUCAUAGUAUAUUUUAAAUAUUGACAUUUAACUAAAAACACUGUCUCACACACACACAAACUCUAACUUUAUUUGGACAUAAUCUUUGACUCUGCAUUUAGUUAUUCUAAAUCUCUUUCUGGAUUAGAGACAGAAGGAACAUAGACCAUACACGCAUUCUAGAGGAAGAGGAGAGAGAAGAGGAAGCAGGAAGGAGAAUGAAGAAAGUUUCCUCAUCAGCUUUUUCCUCCUCGCUGAUCUUGCCCCUUGUCCAGUACCCAGUGCUUCAUCCAUGUCUCUCUUGCAGAUAACUAUGGCCGUGUGCCUGAGAUCUGGCCAAUGGAAUCGUGGACAGUUCUCCAUGCUCUUUCUCCUUCUGUGGCAACUCUGAAUGUCGUGUGUUCAAGAUGAAGACAGAAGAUAGAAUGACCUUGGGUCUCUGAAUCAUUGCUUGGAGAAGAGCAAUUUACUGAUCAGUGGUGUGAAAAUAAGUAAUUCAAAAUCUAAGCUAUUGGGCCAGGUGCAGUGGCUCACGCCUGUAACCCCAGCACUUUGGGAAACCAAGGCAGGUGGAUCAUUUGAGGUCAGGAGUUCGAGACCAGCCUGGCCAACAGGGUGAAACCCCGUCGCUACUAAAAAUACAAAAAAUUAGCCGGGCAUGGUGGCAUACGCCUGUGGCCCCAGCUACUUGGGAGGCUAGGGCACGAGAAACACUUAAGCCCAGGAGGCGGAAGUUGCAGUGAGCCAAGACUGCACCACUGCAUGCUAGCCUGGGCAAGAGAGCAAGACUCUGCCUCA